Molecule: ribosomal RNA, 465 nt
Filed under: uncultured bacterium
Lineage: Bacteria
Description: partial 16S ribosomal RNA
Rfam family: Bacterial small subunit ribosomal RNA
Source: RNAcentral
CCUACGGGAGGCAGCAGUGGGGAAUAUUGCGCAAUGGGCGAAAGCCUGACGCAGCGACGCCGCGUGAGGGAUGAAGGUCUUCGGAUCGUAGACCUCUGUCAGCAGUGAAGAACGGUCACUGUGCUAAUCAGCAGUGAAUUGACGGUACCUGAACAGGAAGCACAGGCUAACUCCGUAACAGCAGCCGCGGUAAUACGGCGGGUGCGCGCGUUAAACGGAAUGACUGGGGGUAAAGCGCUCGUAGGCGGUAUGUCAAGUCAAGGGUGAAACCGCCGCGCUCAACGUGGGAACUGCCUGUGAAACUGGCAAACGUGAGUGUGUGAGAGGUGAGUGGAAUUCCAGGUGUAGGAGUGAAAUCCGUAGAUAUCUGGAGGAACAUCAGUGGCGAAGGCGACUAUCUGGCACAUAACUGACGCUGAGGAGCGAAAGCGUGGGUAGCAAACAGGAUUAGAUACCCCAGUAGUC